RNAcentral lists this ribosomal RNA (305 nucleotides) under uncultured bacterium. RNAcentral describes it as "bacterial SSU rRNA". It matches the Rfam family "Bacterial small subunit ribosomal RNA", at positions 335 to 658 of the family's 1533-position model. The record is from RNAcentral.
UGCCUACGGGAGGCAGCAGUGGGGAAUAUUGCACAAUGGGGGAAACCCUGAUGCAGCGACGCCGCGUGAAGGACGAAGUAUUUCGGUACGUAAACUUCUAUCAGCAGGGAAGAAAAUGACGGUACCGGACCAAGAAGCCCCGGCUAACUACGUGCCAGCAGCCGCGGUAAUACGUAGGGGGCAAGCGUUAUCCGGAUUCACUGGGCGUAAAGGGAGCGCAGGCGGCAUGGCAAGUCUGAUGUGAAAACCCGGGGCCCAACCCCGGGAGUGCAUUGGAAACUGCCGGGCUGGAGUGUCGGAGGGGG